Molecule: ribosomal RNA, 292 nt
Filed under: uncultured bacterium
Lineage: Bacteria
Description: partial 16S ribosomal RNA
Rfam family: Bacterial small subunit ribosomal RNA
Source: RNAcentral
GUGCCAGCAGCCGCGGUAAUACAGAGGGUGCAAGCGUUAAUCGGAAUUACUGGGCGUAAAGCGCACGCAGGCGGUUGGUUAAGUCAGAUGUGAAAGCCCCGGGCUCAACCUGGGAAUUGCAUUUGAAACUGGCCAACUAGAGUAUGUGAGAGGGGGGUAGAAUUCCAAGUGUAGCGGUGAAAUGCGUAGAGAUUUGGAGGAAUACCAGUGGCGAAGGCGGCCCCCUGGCACAAUACUGACGCUCAGGUGCGAAAGCGUGGGGAGCAAACAGGAUUAGAAACCCUAGUAGUCC